This 468-nucleotide ribosomal RNA is filed under the name uncultured bacterium. RNAcentral's name for it is "partial 16S ribosomal RNA". It matches the Rfam family "Bacterial small subunit ribosomal RNA", at positions 28 to 507 of the family's 1533-position model. The record is from RNAcentral.
GAUGAACGCUGGCGGCGCGCCUAACACAUGCCAGUCGAACGAAGCUCAGAGAAGCAUGUUCUUCUUAGCUUAGUGUCUUACGGCUGAGUAACGCACGAGUAACUUACCCUGGGGUGACGGACAACAGAUGGAGACGUCUCAUAUUACCGCAUCAGCUCAUGCUGCAGAAUCGGACAGAGGGGCAUGGUGUUGUGUGCUACAAGAUGGACGCGCGUCCGAUUAGCUAGUUGGUGAGGUAACGGCCCACCAAGGCGACGAAUCGUAGCCGGACUGAGAGGGUGACCGGCCACAUUGGGACUGAGACACGGCCCAAACUCCUACGGGAGGCAGCAGUGGGGGAUAUUGCACAAUGGGGGAAAGCCUGAUGCAGCGACGCCGCGUGAACGAAGAAGUUUUUCGGAAUGUAAACCCCUAUCAGCAGGGACGAUAAUGACGGUACCUAACAAGAAAGCACCGGCUAACUACGUG